This is a long non-coding RNA of Meleagris gallopavo (turkey), 2023 nucleotides long. NCBI's taxonomy places the organism in Eukaryota, Metazoa, Chordata, Aves, Galliformes, Phasianidae. The record is from Ensembl.
ACCUGAUGGUGUUCAGCCCCAACUGCCCGCCGCCGCCCGGCCCCGCGCCGAAGGAGACGCCGCACGAGCCGUCCUCUCUGCUGGACACGGUUGGGCAAGCACUACUGGACCCUACUCCACUUGAACUUACAUCCGUUCUUUGCUGUUCUAUUUAUGGGCCUAUUGUGGCAAUUGUAUGAAGAUGUUUGUUUUACGUUUGCAUCUACCGUUUUGUCCAUCCCUGAUCUCCUUAAUUGUUUAUCUGGAACUUCUUUCUGAGGCUUGAUGUUUCGUAUUGGAGUUUUCCUUUGGUGGAAUAAAGUCAUUUGCAUAGAGCUGCCUGUGUUACAAGUCUUCUGCCAAGACUGAUCCUAAUAGUGUGCAACACUGAAGGAGUUCUCGACAUCCCAGGGUCAUUCUGGUAGUGGUGGUCCACCGGGCACUUUCCUCUUCUUUUAAUAACGUGAAGUGUGAUUGUGCUGGUAACAGGUCCGUUUCUUUCCUUCAAUUCUCCUUUGCAAGAGACACAUUUCAGUAUAUUGAUUGUUUCUUCAGCGUUCUGUCUGAGUAUGGUGUGUCUCCAUCUCCAUUAGAUCGUCAGGCAGAGUUGUGAUAGUAGGAAUGUCAGAAAAUAAUUACGGACUUUUUCUGUAUCCUGCUGGUGACCUCAGAGUGUGACAGUGAUGUCCCUUUGGUAUGUUUCUUGUUCAUCAAGUGAAGUGAUGCAAAGCGAUGAAUUAUUGUUCCAAAUGUUGGGAGAGGGGGAUGCCUCGGGGUACUUCUGUAACACCUUUCUCUAGAGUAAGCACUCAAAAUCUUUUCAAUGAAAAUGGGUUGGUUUUUGCUUAAUUUAUUAUUUUUGUCUAUUAAUUAUUGGUGGGACAAGUUUUGGCUGUAACCUGUUAUGACUUCUCAUUGACUUUUGAGGUUCUUAAAGGUGAUUGUGGGUUCUGGAGCUGUUAGCGCACAGGGCUGUGUUUAUUGGAGUUCUCCUCCUGCAGCUGGACACGAGGCUUUCAUUGCUUGUGAUGUUCUGUCCCAGACAGACAUAAGUGCCUCUUUUGAUUUGCUGUGUCACAUUCUUGACUCUACAAAUCCUAUAAGGUGAUGUGUGCUGCAUCUUUAGAUGGGAGUACUGAAUGUCUGGAAGUCACAAGGAAUCGUUCUUGAGGCAACAGUCCAGCAUGUAGUAGUCACCAUCGUUGGCCCUGACUGCGUUAUUAUCAGCUAUAGUUUGUUUUCAAAAAUUCUGUCCUCUUCUUCUUUCAUUGUUCUUUGAAGCAGAUGUGAUGCAAGGGGAUAGUUGUGCCUGGAGAGUUUUCUGAUUGUAGACUCGUGUUUUGGAGGAUGUACUGAACCUCUUUAGAUGUUCCUUUAGUAUUUGCAUCAGUAGCUGUACCUUCACAAAGCACCCGUGCCAUUUUUAAAAUCAGAAGUGAAAAGGGGAUCCUUGGAAACCCACCUAUAGAGUUCAGAUGAAACGUAAGUAUGCCUUACUCAUUAAUAUUAGAAAUUCCUUUGCUUAGCAGUGUGUAGUGUCUUCAUUUGAAUUUGCAGAAGCAUUGCAAAACAUUGAGGGUUAUCUGCAGAAGGUUAGCCAGGCACUGUGCAUAUGACACCAGUUUGUUUGGUGCAGUUGGACUACUAGCUGUGAUUGGUGGGAUGGUUCAGUGAAGGGCAGUGUCAGUGCUGGAUUGAGAAGGGGAGUAGAAGCUGGAAUAGAGGCUGCUUGUCUUCUGUAUCCGUUGUUCAGAGUGGGGUUUGGGUUACCCGGGGCCGUAAGAAAUGGGAGGCCUUCCAGAUCUGGCGGUAGUUCAUUGUGUUGACGUGACUACACUACGCUGUCUUUAGAUGUUCUGAAUAUGUCUCUCUCUCUGGUCAUGAAUCUCUUCUGCUCCUCUUGGCUUUCCUUAGCUGUAUGUAAUUAAUUCUGUGAUGUCUGAGUAAUGGAUCAGCGAGAUCCCAGGAGAGUUCUAUGAUGUCCUGUGUGUUUUGGCUCUUGUGUGUGAGGCUGAAUGUGAGUGAGGUAGACUGCUGAGGGCCU